GACGAACGCUGGCGGCGUGCUUAACACAUGCAAGUCGAACGGUGAAGCGCCUUCCUUUUUGGUGGGUGUGGAUGAGUGGCGAACGGGUGAGUAACACGUGAGUAACCUGCCCCCUUCUUCUGGAUAACCGCAUGAAAGUGUGGCUAAUACGGGAUAUUCUGGGUCUGUCGCAUGAUGGGUCUGGGAAAGAUAUUGUUUCGGUGGGGGAUGGGCUCGCGGCCUAUCAGCUUGUUGGUGGGGUGAUGGCCUACCAAGGCGGUGACGGGUAGCCGGCCUGAGAGGGUGGACGGUCACACGGGGACGGAGACACGGCCCAGACUCCUACGGGAGGCAGCAGGGGGGAAUAUUGCACAAUGGGCGCAAGCCUGAUGCAGCGACGCCGCGUGAGGGAUGGAGGCCUUCGGGUUGUGAACCUCUUUCGCCAGUGAAGCAGGCCUGCCUCGUUUGUGGGUGGGUUGACGGUAGCUGGAUAAGAAGCGCCGGCUAACUACGUG
RNAcentral lists this ribosomal RNA (494 nucleotides) under uncultured bacterium. Its description in RNAcentral is "partial 16S ribosomal RNA". It matches the Rfam family "Bacterial small subunit ribosomal RNA", at positions 28 to 507 of the family's 1533-position model. The record is from RNAcentral.